GACGAACGCUGGCGGCGUGCUUAACACAUGCAAGUCGAGCGGUAAGGCCUUUCGGGGUACACGAGCGGCGAACGGGUGAGUGACACGUGGGUGAUCUGCCCUGCACUUCGGGAUAAGCCUGGGAAACUGGGUCUAAUACCGGAUAUGACCUCCUAUCGCAUGAUGGGUGGUGGAAAGAUUUAUCGGUGCAGGAUGGGCCCGCGGCCUAUCAGCUUGUUGGUGGGGUAAUGGCCUACCAAGGCGACGACGGGUAGCCGACCUGAGAGGGUGACCGGCCACACUGGGACUGAGACACGGCCCAGACUCCUACGGGAGGCAGCAGUGGGGAAUAUUGCACAAUGGGCGAAAGCCUGAUGCAGCGACGCCGCGUGAGGGAUGACGGCCUUCGGGUUGUAAACCUCUUUCAGCAGGGACGAAGCGAAAGUGACGGUACCUGCAGAAGAAGCACCGGCUAACUACGUG
RNAcentral lists this ribosomal RNA (462 nucleotides) under uncultured bacterium. RNAcentral describes it as "partial 16S ribosomal RNA". It matches the Rfam family "Bacterial small subunit ribosomal RNA", at positions 28 to 507 of the family's 1533-position model. The record is from RNAcentral.